Molecule: ribosomal RNA, 500 nt
Filed under: uncultured bacterium
Lineage: Bacteria
Description: partial 16S ribosomal RNA
Rfam family: Bacterial small subunit ribosomal RNA
Source: RNAcentral
AUUGAACGCUGUCGGAAUGCUUUACACAUGCAAGUCGAACGGCAGCACGGACUUCGGUCUGGUGGCGAGUGGCGAACGGGCGAGUAAUGUAUCGGAACGUGCCCAGUCGUGGGGGAUAACGUAGUGAAAAUUACGCUAAUACCGCAUACGAUCUAUGGAUGAAAGCGGGGGAUCGCAAGACCUCGCGCGAUUGGAGCGGCCGAUAUCAGAUUAGGUAGUUGGUGGGGUAAAGGCCCACCAAGCCAACGAUCUGUAGCUGGUCUGAGAGGACGACCAGCCAGACUGGAACUGAGACACGGUCCAGACUCCUACGGGAGGCAGCAGUGGGGAAUUUUGGACAAUGGGCGAAAGCCUGAUCCAGCCAUUCCGCGUGCAGGAUGAAGGCCCUCGGGUUGUAAACUGCUUUUGUACGGAACGAAAAGGUUUCUACUAAUACUAGGAGCUCAUGACGGUACUGUAAGAAUAAGCACCGGCUAACUACGUGCCAGCCGCCGCCGUAA